GCCUAAGGCCGCGAUCGCUGGCGGCCCUAAAUAUAGAGCCGGAGUGACCGCUGCGCAUGCGCUGUGGGUGCGGCCUGCCGCGCGCACGCGCGCCGGAGCCUGCCCGGCAAGGUGCCAGGUCCUUCCCUGUGGGCUCCGCUCCAACUCCUGGGACUGUGUCUCAGGCCUACGCUGCCUGAGCCGGGAUCGCAGGGCGGUGGACGGGCAAGUCCCUUUUUGGAUCUCUUCCCUUCGUCUCUCUGUCACCUUCCACGAACAGCCCUGUGCGUCAGACUCCUGCGCCCCCGGUGUAGGUCGCAAACCGACCGCGCCCGGGAAGGAAACCUACCUGCUAAGAAAAGGGUUUAUUGGGCAUAUAGGAAGGGGUCUCGGGCCAGGGUUUUAAGAUCCAGUCAACGAGGGGCUUGCCUGGUUUUGUUUGCGUCGAUGACGGGGCAACUUUAUUGGAUGGAUGACCCUAGAAUGGCCCUGGCAUAGAUGUGCUAAGGGGCUGCUGUCGCGGGAUUAAAGAAGCAGCCACAAAAGGGAGCCCAGUGGUGGCACGUUCUUGUCCGAAUUGAAGAGAAGAGGGAACGGAGAAACUGGCUAGAUGGAGCUCAUAGUUCCACAGUUCUAGUCACUCAGAUGGUGAGGGUGUCAUGACAGCACAGGACCUGACACAGACUUGAACAGCUAUAAGUUAAUGGUUUUUAUUUUGAGACAAGGUCUCAUGUAGUCAAGCCAUCCUGGCCUCAAAGUUUAGUAUGUAGCCAACCUUGGAGUCAUCCUGUCUCUACCUCCCCAGUCGUGGGAUUGCAGACUGGGUUAGGCUGGACCUGUGCCAGGCCAAGAGCUGCCCGCCUGCAAUCGGGGAAAGAACCUUUCUGGUUUCGUCUUUCCCAGCUGGACAUCAAGAAGAAGAACAAAGUCCAGAAUGAUAAAGAUGGAGGCGUACCCAGGUGGGCCCUGUGCUGAUCCAACUGCCUUCUCUCCUGUGCCGCUGCUUCUGGUCUACGUCCUCCCCUCUUCAUCUAUAUCUUCCCCCACUCUCCCUCCUCCUCCCACAACCCCUCCUUGAACUGCAGUCUAAACUCCUCUCAUCCUUUGCUCUGGCCCUGAGCAUGGGUGCCCACACCGCUGGAGUUCAAGCAAGGUCAGCCCUCUGGAAAUGACGCUGAGACAUUUCUCCUUCUCGGCCAGCCUGCGUCACUGUCACAGUAAGGGGCUGCUGCUUGUCGAAGGGGCCAGCAGUCAAGGCAGAAAGAAAAUGUCAAGGCUUGCCCCAGAGUCCUCCCCCCACACCCCUUACUCUGGGCCCCACAAGCUGUUUUCAUUAGUCCCCUUAUAUGGUAAGCUUAUUAGCCAACCUUACUGAUUGCCACUCUCUUGACCUCUUCAAGGAGACCCUCACAGACAGGGGACAGUGCUGCCUAGCAUGGCUCAGUGUCCUGCAUUCAAUUCCCAGCAAUGCAAAACUAAGGUAAAAAGGAAACAAAGCUGUCGAGCCCGGGCUGCUUCCGCUUGUGUGCAGCCUUGAACCAGAAGGCCAUCUUCUAGCGGUGCCCACAUGUGCAGUGGUCAGUGAGGGCAACCUGGCAGCCCAGCUCUGCCCUGGAGGGGCUCCAGCUGGAGGAGAGCUGGGACGGGUCCCCAGACCUCAGUACAACAGACUCCAUGAUGGAACUACCAUUCAGGCUAUAAAGCUCAGCUCAGACACCUGCCCAAACAAAACCGAAGGCCUAAUCCGUCCAAGUCCAUGGUUAUGGGAAAGUCUCAAAAUGUACUAAUCUUGCUGUUUUUGCUUCUAUAGUUCUGCUUACUGUUCUUGUUAACUGGAGCGUGCCAUUCAGAGCUCACACCAAGAAAGACUCAGAACUACACACUGGGAUACCAAAUACCUAGUGUAGUCCCCAGCCGGCUAAUAACCACUUUCUGUUGGCUUAA
This is a long non-coding RNA of Mastomys coucha (southern multimammate mouse), 1923 nucleotides long. RefSeq lists it as uncharacterized. NCBI's taxonomy places the organism in Eukaryota, Metazoa, Chordata, Mammalia, Rodentia, Muridae. The transcript has 3 exons. The record is from RefSeq and is a predicted model, not a curated record.